GGUUUUGGAAACCUUGUCUAAAAGUCGGUUUCCUUGCCCCGCCGUGUUUCUGAAGCGCGAGGCCGUGGUGGAGGCUGGCAGGGAGCGGAGGAGCGCCGGCCAACAUGCAGCUCCCGGUCAGAUGUAGCAGGAGGAUUUUCCUGGCUGUUUGUGUAAUCCUCUUUGUGGGAUGCACAGUGCAAGGUGCCCCCGCGCACAGGGCGCGCUACAAGCGGCUGCGGUGCCGGCCCGACGCCUGGUCCCCCAACUGCGUAGAGGAGACGGGGCCCUGGUUCCAGCUGCCCGACGGCGCGGCCAACAGGAUCCUGCCGCCCCUGGCCGCCCCUGCCCUGACGAAGAGGUACCGGGAGCCGGGCGACGCCUUCCCGCUCUCCGAGGAGCAGUCGGGCUCGGGCUGGGAGGCGGCGCUGGAGCCGGGCUCGGGCUCGGGAGCUGAGGCCAUUC
This 444-nucleotide long non-coding RNA is filed under the name Chrysolophus pictus (golden pheasant). RNAcentral's name for it is "lncRNA (ENSCPIG00010010973.1)". Lineage: Eukaryota; Metazoa; Chordata; Aves; Galliformes; Phasianidae. The record is from RNAcentral.